This 141-nucleotide non-coding RNA is filed under the name unclassified sequences. Its description in RNAcentral is "radC RNA". It matches the Rfam family "radC RNA". The record is from RNAcentral.
AAGGUAUGGAUCGCUGUUAUCGACAGCACCUUCCCAGGUAGCCAGAGCCUUCAAGGCUACGUUCACUUCGGUGAUGGUUCUCCCCAAGUGCGAUUAGCGUUCGGUGGCUCGCACGGUGACCGUUUCUACGGUGAUGAACGC